Molecule: long non-coding RNA, 144 nt
Organism: Octopus sinensis (East Asian common octopus)
Lineage: Eukaryota; Metazoa; Mollusca; Cephalopoda; Octopoda; Octopodidae
Exons: 3
Source: RefSeq, a predicted model, not a curated record
AUCAUCAUCAUCAUUAAAUGUAAUUUGUCUGUUUUCCUAUACAAGGACUUGGGUCUUUGUUAAAUUAACUCUGAGGCCCUUUGCUUCCAGACCUUGCUUCCAUGCCUGAAAUUUCUUCUCUAGCUCUGGUAGUGACUCAGCUUU